This 408-nucleotide ribosomal RNA is filed under the name Escherichia coli. RNAcentral describes it as "bacterial SSU rRNA". It matches the Rfam family "Bacterial small subunit ribosomal RNA", at positions 248 to 648 of the family's 1533-position model. Lineage: Bacteria; Pseudomonadati; Pseudomonadota; Gammaproteobacteria; Enterobacterales; Enterobacteriaceae. The record is from RNAcentral.
GUAGGUGGGGUAAAGGCUCACCUAGGCGACGAUCCCUAGCUGGUCUGAGAGGAUGACCAGCCACACUGGAACUGAGACACGGUCCAGACUCCUACGGGAGGCAGCAGUGGGGAAUAUUGCACAAUGGGCGCAAGCCUGAUGCAGCCAUGCCGCGUGUAUGAAGAAGGCCUUCGGGUUGUAAAGUACUUUCAGCGGGGAGGAAGGGAGUAAAGUUAAUACCUUUGCUCAUUGACGUUACCCGCAGAAGAAGCACCGGCUAACUCCGUGCCAGCAGCCGCGGUAAUACGGAGGGUGCAAGCGUUAAUCGGAAUUACUGGGCGUAAAGCGCACGCAGGCGGUUUGUUAAGUCAGAUGUGAAAUCCCCGGGCUCAACCUGGGAACUGCAUCUGAUACUGGCAAGCUUGAGUC